GGAUGGAUCAUUACAGAGUAGUGAUUAGAGAGAGUAGUAAAGUGAAUAGAAGAAGGUGGUGGUGGGGUUGUUGGUUGUAGUUGCUGUUUUGAUGGGCGUACAACUUACAGUCGCACUGCGAAAGCCGAAACGUCUUUUUUUGUUUUGUUGAUUGUAGUAAAAAAGUGUGUAAAAAACAUAUUAUUAUUAAAUUACACAACUUUUAGCAACGGAUCUCUUGGCUCUCGCAACGAUGAAGAACGCAGCGAAAUGCGAUAAUUAGUGUGAAUUGCAGAUACCGUGAAUCAUCAAGUCUUUGAACGCACAUUGCACUGUCUGGAAUUCCGGGCAGUAUACCUGUUUGAGUAUCAGCCAACAUUCCUAACAUAUAGUACCCUUGUAUUGGGGUUAUUUAAGAUAGGGAAUUGAGCCAGUACAUUUAGUAGGUACACGGUAGUACUAGUACUAGUAGUAGUAGUAGUAGUAGUAGUAUUAGGUAUUGACAAGUGUGGCUUUAAAUAUAAGAGUUACCAUGUUCUGGUCAGCAGUAUCAGCCUAUGAGUAAUAGUUGACAGAGUUAAUGGGCAUAAAAAUUUGCCUGUGAGUGUCUUCUAUAUUUAUGGGUGGUGGUUGUGAAGAGCAAGUGGAAUUCAUAAGUGCGUGACACAAACAAGUGACGUACUGUGUAGUGUUGAUCUCAAAUCAGGUAAGAUUACCCGCUGAACUUAAGCAUAUUAAUAAGCGGAGGAAAAGAAACUAACCAGGAUUCCCUUAGUAACGGCGAGUGAAGCGGGAACAGCUCAAAUUUAAAAUCUCUUUGGAGAAUUGUAGUUUGUAGAGAGUGAAUCGGUCUGCAGGCUGGGUACAAGUCCUUUGGAAGAGGGCAUCAUAGAGGGUGAGAAUCCCGUGUUUGAUCCAGUUACUGGGACGAUGUGAUACACUGUCAAAGAGUCGGGUUGUUUGGGAAUGCAGCCCUAAGUUGGUGGUAUAUUUCAUCUAAAGCUAAAUAGUGGCGAGAGACCGAUAGCGAACAAGUACCGUGAGGGAAAGAUGAAAAGAACUUUGAAAAGAGAGUUAAAUAGUACGUGAAAUUGCUAAAAGGGAAACGAUUGAAAUCAGUGUUGGGCGGAGUAAAUCAGCUAGUCAGAAAUGGGUGGUGCACUUUACUUUGGCCAGGUCAACGUGAGUUUUGGUUGGGGGUAAAUUAGUAUGGGAAGGUGACUCCUUGGCGGGAGUGUUAUAGCCUGUAUGAGUGCCCUGACUGGGAUUGAGGAGAGCAGUGUAUGCCCUGUAAAGGGCUGGCGAACUAGGCAGUAUUAGUGGAUUGAUUAGUGGCAGCAUGCUGAGACUAGUUAAUACGGCUUGUACGUGGCUGGGUAGCACAAAUGCACUAAGGAUGUUGACGAAAUGGUUUUAAACGACCCGUCUUGAAACACGGACCAAGGAGUCUAACACAUGUGCGAGUGUUUGGGUUGGAAGCCCAGGCGCGUAAUGAAAGUAAACGUAGGUGGGAACCCCGGAUUAUUAUUAGUAGUAGGCGGGGUGCAGCAUCGACCGGUCUGGAUUAUUUUUAAUGAUAGAUCUGAGUAAGAGCAUAUAUGUUGGGACCCGAAAGAUGGUGAACUAUGCCUGAAUAGGGCGAAGCCAGAGGAAACUCUGGUGGAGGCUCGUAGCGGUACUGACGUGCAAAUCGUUCGUCAAAUUUGGGUAUAGGGGCGAAAGACUAAUCGAACCAUCUAGUAGCUGGUUCCCUC
Molecule: unclassified non-coding RNA, 1733 nt
Filed under: uncultured fungus
Lineage: Eukaryota; Fungi
Description: sequence contains 18S rRNA gene, ITS1, 5.8S rRNA gene, ITS2, 28S rRNA gene
Rfam family: Eukaryotic large subunit ribosomal RNA (bases 672-1733)
Source: RNAcentral